RNAcentral lists this ribosomal RNA (482 nucleotides) under uncultured bacterium. Its description in RNAcentral is "bacterial SSU rRNA". It matches the Rfam family "Bacterial small subunit ribosomal RNA", at positions 29 to 500 of the family's 1533-position model. The record is from RNAcentral.
AGUGAACGCUGGCGGCAGGCCUAAUACAUGCAAGUCGAACGGCAGCACAGCAGAGCUUGCUCUGUGGGUGGCGAGUGGCGGACGGGUGAGGAAUACAUGGGAAUCUGCCCAGUCGUGGGGGAUAACGUAUGGAAACGUACGCUAAUACCGCAUGCGCCCUAAGGGGGAAAGCCGGGGACCGCAAGGCCUGGCGCGAUUGGAUGAGCCCAUGUUCGAUUAGCUAGUUGGCGGGGUAAAGGCCCACCAAGGCGACGAUCGAUAGCUGGUCUGAGAGGAUGAUCAGCCACACUGGAACUGAGACACGGUCCAGACUCCUACGGGAGGCAGCAGUAGGGAAUAUUGGACAAUGGGGGCGAACCCUGAUCCAGCCAUGCCGCGUGAGUGAAGAAGGCCCUCGGGUUGUAAAGCUCUUUUGUCCGGAAGAAAGCAAUCGGUUAAUACCCGGUUGUCCUGACGGUACCGGAAGAAUAAGCACCGGCUAA